RNAcentral lists this ribosomal RNA (498 nucleotides) under uncultured bacterium. RNAcentral's name for it is "partial 16S ribosomal RNA". It matches the Rfam family "Bacterial small subunit ribosomal RNA", at positions 30 to 523 of the family's 1533-position model. The record is from RNAcentral.
AUUGAACGCUGGCGGCAUGCCUUACACAUGCAAGUCGAACGGUAACAGGUCUUCGGAUGCUGACGAGUGGCGAACGGGUGAGUAAUACAUCGGAACGUGCCUAGUAGUGGGGGAUAACUACUCGAAAGAGUGGCUAAUACCGCAUGAGAGCUACGGAUGAAAGAAGGGGAUCGCAAGACCUUGUGCUACUAGAGCGGCCGAUGGCGGAUUAGGUAGUUGGUGGGAUAAAAGCUUACCAAGCCGACGAUCUGUAGCUGGUCUGAGAGGACGAUCAGCCACACUGGGACUGAGACACGGCCCAGACUCCUACGGGAGGCAGCAGUGGGGAAUUUUGGACAAUGGGCGCAAGCCUGAUCCAGCAAUGCCGCGUGCAGGAUGAAGGCCUUCGGGUUGUAAACUGCUUUUGUACGGAACGAAAAGCCCCGGGUUAAUACCCUGGGGUCAUGACGGUACCGUAAGAAUAAGCACCGGCUAACUACGUGCCAGCAGCCGCGGUAA